This 76-nucleotide transfer RNA is filed under the name Pseudomonas juntendi. Its description in RNAcentral is "tRNA-Ile". It matches the Rfam family "tRNA". From Rfam's summary of the family: Transfer RNA (tRNA) molecules are approximately 80 nucleotides in length. The record is from RNAcentral. Lineage: Bacteria; Pseudomonadati; Pseudomonadota; Gammaproteobacteria; Pseudomonadales; Pseudomonadaceae.
AGGUCUGUAGCUCAGUUGGUUAGAGCGCACCCCUGAUAAGGGUGAGGUCGGCAGUUCAAAUCUGCCAGACCUACCA